Molecule: ribosomal RNA, 252 nt
Filed under: uncultured Bacteroidales bacterium
Lineage: Bacteria; Pseudomonadati; Bacteroidota; Bacteroidia; Bacteroidales
Description: partial 16S ribosomal RNA
Rfam family: Bacterial small subunit ribosomal RNA
Source: RNAcentral
UACGUAUGGGGCAAGCGUUAUCCGGAUUUAUUGGGUUUAAAGGGUGCGUAGGCGGGUUAUCAAGUCAGCGGUAAAAUCGUGGAGCUCAACUCCAUCCAGCCGUUGAAACUGAUGAUCUUGAGUGGGCGAGAAGUAUGCGGAAUGCGUGGUGUAGCGGUGAAAUGCAUAGAUAUCACGCAGAACUCCGAUUGCGAAGGCAGCUUACUAAGCCAUAACUGACACUGAAGCACGAAAGCGUGGGGAUCGAACAGG